Molecule: ribosomal RNA, 464 nt
Filed under: uncultured bacterium
Lineage: Bacteria
Description: bacterial SSU rRNA
Rfam family: Bacterial small subunit ribosomal RNA
Source: RNAcentral
GAUGAACGCUGGCGGCGUGCUUAACACAUGCAAGUCGAACGAAGCACUUUAUUUGAUUUCCUUCGGGACUGAUUAUUUUGUGACUGAGUGGCGGACGGGUGAGUAACGCGUGGGUAACCUGCCUUGUACAGGGGGAUAACAGUUGGAAACGGCUGCUAAUACCGCAUAAGCGCACGGCAUCGCAUGAUGCAGUGUGAAAAACUCCGGUGGUAUAAGAUGGACCCGCGUUGGAUUAGCUAGUUGGUGAGGUAACGGCCCACCAAGGCGACGAUCCAUAGCCGACCUGAGAGGGUGACCGGCCACAUUGGGACUGAGACACGGCCCAAACUCCUACGGGAGGCAGCAGUGGGGAAUAUUGCACAAUGGGCGAAAGCCUGAUGCAGCGACGCCGCGUGAGCGAAGAAGUAUUUCGGUAUGUAAAGCUCUAUCAGCAGGGAAGAUAAUGACGGUACCUGACUAAGAAG